GCGAACUGUCGGCUGUAUGCCUGGGUAAUACAGAGUGUGCGGGCGUUAAGGUGAUGUACGUGGCGGAAAGCGGUCGUAGGCGGCUUUUUAAGUCGGAUGUGAAAUCCCCGAGCUUAACGUGGGAAUGGCAGGCGAUACUGGGAAGCGAGAGUAUGGGAGAGGAUUGUAGAAUUCCAGGUGUAGCGGUGAAAUGCGUAGAGAUCUGGAGGAAUACCGAUGGCGAAGGCAGCCAUCUGGCCUAAUACUGACGCUGAGGUACGAAAGCAUGGGGAGCAAACAGGAUUAGAUACCCUGGUAGUC
Molecule: ribosomal RNA, 300 nt
Filed under: uncultured Gemmatimonas sp.
Lineage: Bacteria; Pseudomonadati; Gemmatimonadota; Gemmatimonadia; Gemmatimonadales; Gemmatimonadaceae
Description: bacterial SSU rRNA
Rfam family: Bacterial small subunit ribosomal RNA
Source: RNAcentral